GUAAUGGGCCGUGUGCACACCUGUGCAGACCCCUGCCUGGGCAUUGGCGGUGGCCGAUAUGUGAGUUGCCUGCUACUGUGUGUGUGAUACCUGGGUCGGUCCCUGCCCAGGUCAGGGACUGCCUGAGGGGAUGACCCUCCUGUCGUCCCCACCACCGUGCUACAAUACAGUCAGUCGGAACCGAGCGGUGGUGUGUCGAUGGUGGGCCGCGAGACAUAACAUUGGCGACGAGCGGAGUGAGGACGGAGCCAUGCCGUUGGGGAAGAUUGAAGAAUUUCACCAAGGACAAGAUAACUGGGAAGAGUAUGCGGAAAGGUUGGACCAAUUCUUCGUGGCUAAUGACAUCCAGGACGAUGCUAAGAAGAGGGCCAUUCUUCUCAGCAGCAUGGGAGCUCGGACAUACGGUACGGUAAGAUCGCUGUUGUCACCGAAGAAACCAAAUGAGGUGACGUAUGUCAUGAUUGUUGAAACAUUGAGCAAGCAAUUUUGUCCGCCCACAUCGGUAACUGUCGCAAGAUAUCGGUUCUUUUCCUGUUGUCGAGUACAGUCAGAGUCUGUUCAGGAGUUUGUGGCGCGCCUGCGACAGCUGUCACGGGAUUGCAAAUUCGAAUCGUUUCUUGAUCAAAUGAUCAGAGACCGGCUGGUGUGUGGAGUUAACUCUGACCCCAUUCAGCGCAGGUUGCUGGCAGAAGCUGAGCUGACUUUGCCGCAGGCAAUCAAGAUUGCUGUGGCAACGGAAACAGCAGGUCAAAACCUACAGGAGCUGGCAGGAGCUGGCCAGCCGGUGGUGUCCGCUACGGGGGAGACGGCAGUGAACCGUGUCCGGACGGGCCCGUCAGCCUCACAGCGGACCAGCCAGGAGCGACACAACGCCAGUAAGCAAGCGCGGCAUGAAGGUGAGAGAUGCUGGCGCUGUUUGAACAGAACGCACUCUGAAUCCGAAUGCUACUUUAAACGUAAGCGCUGCUUCCAGUGUUCCAAGUACGGGCAUACUUCGGCCGCUCACCGGGCAGGGACGGUGAAACAUGUUGGGUCGGAGGUGGUCCGUCAGGAGGAGGGCGAUGGUGCAGGAUCUGGGGAAGAGCAGAGUGUGAUGGAGGCAGACACUGAAGAAUGUGACUUUAUCGGGGAGGUUUUUCAGUGUCGGGAGCGGAUUCAUGUGGUGAAAAGCCGGCCUCCGAUCAUGCUGGACAUGUCGCUGGAUGGGCGUGAUGUCAGGAUGGAGCUUGACACGGGUGCAUCUGUAUCCGUCUGUUCGUUCAGCAGGUUUCAAGAGCUCUGGCCGGAGAAGAAACGCCGUCUGCAGCCGUGCAGCCUCAUCCUACACACCUUCUCAGGCGAGCCUUUGAAGGUCCGAGGUGAGGUACAGAUGGACGUGGUGUACCGGGGAGAGUCGUUUAGCCUGUCCCUGGUAGUAGUUGAUGGGACAGGGCCGCUGCUCUUCGGCAGGAACUGGUUGGAGAGCAUCAGACUGGACUGGAGAACCAUCUGCAUGGUGACGACGCAGACGCUGGGAAGCGGAGUUGAGUCUGUGCUGCAUAAGUACUCUGAUGUGUUUGCGGAUGAGUUGGGAUGUGCGAAGGGGAUUGUGGUAGAUAUCCCGAUUGACCCAGACACACGCCCCAUCUUCUACAAGCCCAGACCGGUACCGCUGGCGUACCGUGCUGCUGUCGACGCCGAGCUGGACCGUCAGAUCCGGGCCGGGCUGCUGGAACCGGUGAAACACUGCACGUGGGCUGCACCGAUCGUCACUGCACUGAAGGCGUCAGCAGGAUCCGAACAGGAACAUCUGCAGCGGCUGGAGGAGGUUCUGAGACGUCUGUCGGAGGCAGGACUGCGACUGCAGCGGAAGAAGUGUCAGUUCGCGGCAUCAGAAGUGGUGUAUCUGGGACACCACAUCACGGCAGAUGGUAUCAAACCAACAGCAGACAAGGAUCGCCCCAGCUGCCCGUUCCAGCUGAGACGGUGCACCUGAUGCAGUUCUUCGACUCGUCACCGGUCACCGCUGAGUCCAUCCGUCUGUUCACCGCCAGGGAUCCUGUGCUGAGUGCCGUUCUGCGCUUCACCAGAGAGGGCUGGCCGUCGGGCGACCUCGUGAUGCCAGAGCUGGUACAGUACCGAAGCAAGGAAGGUCUCCGGACUGGCCGGCGUCGGACGGGGAACACGCUGGCUCCCGGGACACUGCGUGAGCCGCUCUGGAUCCAAGAUCACUGUUCGUCUGGAGGACGGCCGCGUGAUACAGCGCCACCUAGACUUCGUGGUGCCCAGCGGGUCUAGCCGUCAGAUGGAGCUGCCCGAUGAGCCGACGCCGUCCAUGCCGCCGGGUUGGAUGCAGCCGCUUCCGCCUGGGACACCGCUUUCCGAGGAGGGAAGAGGACGACUCGCCGCACCAGCGGAGAGGGAUCCCGCGGCCGGGGGGCCGCCGGGGACCAGGGCCGCGUCCGCGGCGCCGCUGCCCUCGCCGCCGCCGUCUGCGGAUCCAGGGACCACUCAGCCGGGGGACGCCGAGACGCCGCCGCCGUCCCCGCCGCGGCCGCCGUCUGCGGCUCAGUGUAGCACUCAGCCGCAGCCUGAUGAUCCGCCGCGUCGCUAUAACUUGAGGCCGAGGCCGAUACUAAGAAAAUAGGGUGGAGAGGUGUUAUGUAAUGGGCCGUGUGCACACCUGUGCAGACCCCUGCCUGGGCAUUGGCGGUGGCCGAUAUGUGAGUUGCCUGCUACUGUGUGUGUGAUACCUGGGUCGGUCCCUGCCCAGGUCAGGGACUGCCUGAGGGGAUGACCCUCCUGUCGUCCCCACCACCGUGCUACAAUACAGUCAGUCGG
Molecule: unclassified non-coding RNA, 2820 nt
Filed under: Amphibalanus amphitrite
Lineage: Eukaryota; Metazoa; Arthropoda; Thecostraca; Balanomorpha; Balanidae
Description: uncharacterized protein K02A2.6-like, transcript variant X5
Source: RNAcentral